This 289-nucleotide ribosomal RNA is filed under the name uncultured bacterium. RNAcentral describes it as "partial 16S ribosomal RNA". It matches the Rfam family "Bacterial small subunit ribosomal RNA", at positions 773 to 1060 of the family's 1533-position model. The record is from RNAcentral.
GUGGAUUAGAUACCCUGGUAGUCCACGCCCUAAACGAUGGCAACUGGGUGUUGGGGGAGCGAUUCCUCAGUACCGUAGCUAACGCGUGAAGUUGCCCGCCUGGGGAGUACGGCCGCAAGGUUAAAACUCAAAGGAAUUGACGGGGACCCGCACAAGCGGUGGAUGAUGUGGAUUAAUUCGAUGCAACGCGAACAACCUUACCUACCCUUGACAUGUCCGGAACCCUGCUGAGAGGUGGGGGUGCCCGAAAGGGAAUCGGAACACAGGUGCUGCACGGCCGUCGACAACU